RNAcentral lists this unclassified non-coding RNA (320 nucleotides) under plant metagenome. RNAcentral describes it as "partial contains 5.8S ribosomal RNA, internal transcribed spacer 2, and large subunit ribosomal RNA". The stretch from base 1 to 105 matches the Rfam family "5.8S ribosomal RNA", at positions 50 to 154 of the family's 154-position model. The record is from RNAcentral.
GAAAUGCGAUAAGUAAUGUGAAUUGCAGAAUUCAGUGAAUCAUCGAAUCUUUGAACGCACAUUGCGCCCGCCAGUAUUCUGGCGGGCAUGCCUGUUCGAGCGUCAUUACAACCCUCAGGCCCCCGGGCCUGGCGUUGGGGAUCGGCGGAAGCCCCCUGCGGGCACAACGCCGUCCCCCAAAUACAGUGGCGGUCCCGCCGCAGCUUCCAUUGCGUAGUAGCCAACACCUCGCAACUGGAGAGCGGCGCGGCCACGCCGUAAAACACCCAACUUCUGAAUGUUGACCUCGAAUCAGGUAGGAAUACCCGCUGAACUUAAGC